Molecule: long non-coding RNA, 1317 nt
Filed under: Homo sapiens (human)
Lineage: Eukaryota; Metazoa; Chordata; Mammalia; Primates; Hominidae
Description: HSALNT0366445
Source: RNAcentral
UCCAGUUGGAGCCGGGCCUCACCAACCCAUAAUAUUCCCCAGUCUCCUAAGGCUGUUCCAGCCCAUAAUACUCUCCCUGUCUCCUAAGGCCUCUCCAUCCCAUAAUACUGCCAGACGCCUGACCUGUGGGCCAAACCCCAGCCAGUUCCACACAUCGAGGCUGUGUCAGCGCCGCAGGCCUCCCUCCCUGUCCCUCCUCCCUCCCUGGUCGGCGCUUUCCCUCCCAGGCUUUCUCCCGCCCUCCUGCCCUGGGCCCCUCUCCCAGCCCCACCCCGUGCCUGCCUGGGCCCUCGCUUCCCCUCCAGCCUCCUCCCUUGCCCUUUCUCCAUUGCUUGGUUCUCCAGCCAGCUUCCCCCUGUCUUGCACUUUCCUACCUCCUCCUUGGUCUGUGGGAUGGACAUGGGCCUAGUGGGGAGAGAGUGCCCCCAGAGGGCAACAGGCCAGUCGCUGCCCCUAAAGACUGCCUGCUUGACCUAGCACCGUGGAAACCUGCCCAGCCUGCCUUGCUCACCACCUCCCGUGGUCCUACGUCUGAUUGCUGGCAGAGCUCUGUCUGGUUCUGGAGCCUUUGGGAUUCCCCAAACCCUGAGUGAGAAAGUUCACCUUCCAGGACUUUCCGUGCUCCUCUGGCAAGGACAACAUGGGCAAAGUGCUAAGAUUUUGGACUACGAGGUUUGGCGCUGCCAGUGCUCUCAGGACAGGAAGGGCACAGGUCUUGAACCCUGAAGAUGAAGAGAGAUGGAGCAGGUGCUAAUCACCAGGCCUCUUCCAGAGCGGCUGGAGGUAAGUGCCGGGCUCCAGGCUCCAAUCUCCACCCAGAUGGAGAAAGGCCCAGAUUUCAUGGCUAUCCCUGAGGAAUCUGGGUCAGUUCUCUGAUUUGGCCACCAGGGGUCAUUUUACCCCUGUAAAUCACCAUCUGGAGCACUUGGCAUAAAGGCACACACAAAAGGCUACCCUGGACUAAAACAGACACAAACGGAGAACCCUGACACACACACACACACACACACACACACCUCUCUCUCUCUCUCUCUCACACACACACACACACACAUUCUCUCACACACACAGAGUGCGUGCACACACAGAUAAAAAUACAGUAUUGAGACAUAGGGACAGAAAUGCUAUAGGACGCACACAGGGCAACAGCUCCUUCAGUAAUGCCAGGGUCUGAAGAUGUCCACAAGUGCCAACUCUGCAGCCCCUCCGAGCCCCCAACUUGGGUGAAGAGGGAAGGAAUAGCCGGGCACAAUGGCUCAUGCCUGUAAUCCCAGCACUUUGGGACGCAGGCAGAUUCACCUGAGGUCAGGAGUUCGA